Molecule: ribosomal RNA, 274 nt
Filed under: uncultured bacterium
Lineage: Bacteria
Description: partial 16S ribosomal RNA
Rfam family: Bacterial small subunit ribosomal RNA
Source: RNAcentral
AUACGGAGGCUGCAAGCGUUACUCGGAAUCACUGGGCGUAAAGCGCGCGCAGGCGGCUAUUUAAGUUGGAUGUGAAAGCCUACGGCUCAACCGUAGAACUGCAUCCAAAACUAUUUAGCUAGAGUGUGGGAGAGGAAGAUGGAAUUAGUUGUGUAGGGGUAAAAUCCGUAGAGAUAACUAGGAAUACCAAAAGCGAAGGCAAUCUUCUGGAACACUACUGACGCUGAGGCGCGAAAGCGUGGGGAGCAAACGGGAGUAGAUACCCUAGUAGUCC